RNAcentral lists this long non-coding RNA (207 nucleotides) under Elaeis guineensis (African oil palm). RNAcentral's name for it is "long non-coding RNA (EGUI_LNC068733)". The record is from RNAcentral. Lineage: Eukaryota; Viridiplantae; Streptophyta; Magnoliopsida; Arecales; Arecaceae.
AUGGGAGCUUCGUGUGGAUGAUUCGCAGAGGCCAGACACUAGUGUGGCUACGAUGUGACGAUCAGAGCCCCCGAUGAUGAUCAGAUUAUGGUGAUCGACUACCCACAAAAGGUGAUGUGUUCUGAACACAGUACAGUAAAAAGUUUACUAUUUCAAAUUUGAAUUUCAAAUUUAAAUACAUGCUGUUGUAUCAUAUUUAGAUCCUAG